This is an RNA transcript of Papaver somniferum (opium poppy), 1264 nucleotides long. RefSeq lists it as uncharacterized. The record is from RefSeq and is a predicted model, not a curated record. The transcript has 4 exons. NCBI's taxonomy places the organism in Eukaryota, Viridiplantae, Streptophyta, Magnoliopsida, Ranunculales, Papaveraceae.
CAUCUUUGUUCUUCAUCCCGAUCUCCGUUCUUCACGAGCUGUUUCGUGUUGUUUCGGUGGCAAUAAGGUUGGUCUUAUUAACAACAAUGAAACCAUAAAGUAUUUCGUGCUUUGCAGGAAGAUGCUUACAAGUGCCCCAGAAAGUAUUUCAUUCUCAUCGCCGUGAGGUACUCGUCAUACUCCUUUUUAGUCUUCCUUCCAAUACAAAGUUAUAUUGUCAUUUUGAAUUUUUGCUUUGUUACUGGAUAAAAACGAAGCCAAGAACUUCCAUUGAAGGAAAUUUCAUUAUUCAAAAUUUGAAUUUGCCGCAAGAAAUCUAGUUAUAAAAAGAGAACAAGAGAGGCACAAAACCUGUUCGCAAAAAGUCCAGAAAGGGAAAUCCCAAGUAUAUUCUUAUUCCAGAAGGAAAAGGAAUUCCGUGAAUGAUUAGGAACAAAGAGGUAGGUGAGGAUUCUUAGCAACACAAAAAUGGACUAGUACUAACAUUGAUAUUUCAGAGCAUUAUUUUGCAGAACUUGAACUUGGGAAUCAGUCCAAUUCGGUUACGUCGAAUUGGAUUUCAAGAGAAAAGGAAAAGUAAUAAAUAUCAAAGAAUUUGAGAACAGUUCAAUGGCACGAAUAGUGGCGGUGGUUCUGGGAAGCAUAAUGCAAUUGGAGUUAAAGCUGCUUCAUGGGAAAGAAAAAGAAAGAAAAAAAAUGCUGUAGCAAGUACCAAAGGGAGGAAGAAAAAAAUCCAAGCUUGGGUCGAAGGCAAAAGCUCAAUCUAAAAUGCUUUAGGUCCUUUGGAUCAAAUUAUACAUUCAAGUGAAAAUGUUGACACAAUGGAGCUACUCAAGCAUCUUCAUCAGAAGGUAAAAACUAUCCUGAUAUGUCUUUAGCACACUUAUCAAAUGUGAGAAUAUUCUGAUCCUUAUUGUCAAAGAAAGCUCAAACUAAUGGUAAGUAACUAGUACUACUUUGAUCCUAAUUGUCUGAUCUAAAUGAACCCCUCCUUGAAGACCAUAUUUUAAGAGCUUGUUAUAUGUGUAAAAUGGUGAAGGUACAACAAGCUUUUGCUUCUGUUACGGUUUUUUUUUUAAAGCCUUUCCUCCUCCUUGGCCCAGAGGAGUGGCGUUCGAGUUGCAUACCCGACCAGUGGAUGCGGAUGCAAGAACUAUUGCUGACGGGAAUGGCUUAACAUUCUGUAAAAGUUCCUCUUUGGCAAUCUAGUUUAAUUUUUUUGUAAACUUAUUGAUUGAUGAAUGAAUUGAACGAUCUUUAAUCA